This is an RNA transcript of Ipomoea triloba (trilobed morning glory), 3428 nucleotides long. It is a transcript of the gene named TATA box-binding protein-associated factor RNA polymerase I subunit B, with no coding region annotated. The record is from RefSeq and is a predicted model, not a curated record. Lineage: Eukaryota; Viridiplantae; Streptophyta; Magnoliopsida; Solanales; Convolvulaceae. The transcript has 9 exons.
AAAAUCAAUUCCCAAAUCUGAUAUCCCAAAUUCCCAAUCCCUAUUGCUUUAACACCUCAGCCCGUCAGCCGACGUCUUCGUCGUCUUCUCCCAAGACCUUCACUCUUCGUCUUCUUCUUCGAGUCUUCUCCCAGCCGAGUAGUAGCCGAGAGCCAGCGACGCAGCCACUCGCCUAGCCGGACUCAGCGAGACCGCAGACCUAGACGCACCCACUCCGGUCACGACGCAGUCAGCCAGUCACUCCGGUCUCCGGCAGCUAUUCCCAUUGUCGGAUUUGUCGCACUGCUCGCAAUCCUCAGUCCUCACAGAGUCACAGAUUAUUUGGUAAUACUUGCAAAAACAUACACAGUAAAGAAUGACCGAAAGAUUGGAAAGGCUGUGUGAUGUGUGUGGGAAUCUUGGAUUUAGUGAUGGUGGUGACGGAUUCUUUUAUUGCACUCGUUGUAACUCUCAAGCUAAUGAUUUCGUCGAUACUGGCGUAGAUGAUGCUGACUUGAAUGCAUUUGAUGGUGGGAUCUAUUCUACCACCCAAACUCGUGCUCGUCCUAGGCAGGAGGCCAUUGUAGCUGAGCAAAUUUCUCAGCUAAAGGCUUCACAGUCCCAGUAUCAAGAGAUACUAAAAACCAUGGAUGACUAUAAUGAUGAUACUGUCAAAAAUGGUGUUGGCCCUACUGAGCCAAGUGACUUUGGUUCUGCCCAAGAAACUAUCAUUUCACCAGACGACUAUUAUUCAGAGAUCAGGAAGAGGUAUGUUAUGGGAGUUCAAAUUAUGGUCCAGUUGCAGUGUAAGGCUUUGGUGGAGAAAUUUAAUGUAAGCCCCUUAAUUGUUGGGCUUACAGGGCCAAUUUGGUUGAGAUAUUUGGCUUAUGAAAGGGUGAUGGCUGAUGAAUGGGCAGAUGAGGUUAUUCAUGAAUCACAAUCCCAAACACAAGGGGAUGUUGGUGAGUGGCCUGCGGCUAAGCACAAAGCAGAACCUCACAACCUUCUUGGUAAACGAGCAAUACCAAUUUGGCAUAGAUCUCUGAGAAGUAAGAUUCCAUUAUCUUGUUCUCUGGCUAUCUCAUUUCUUGUUUGUCAUAUGGCCAGAGAGGCAAUCCUGCCAACAGAUAUAGUGAAGUGGACACUUGAAGGCAAACUUCCAUAUUUUGCUGCUUUUCUUGAAAUUCAGAAGCAACUUGGGCCAUCUUCAAGGGCGUGCCCUAUUAGUGCCAGUUGCAUGUUCAGGCCUACUCAGGCUAUCUCCAUACAGAAAUUAGAGUCAUUUGCAGCUUCAAUUGGUCGGAGAAUAGGUUUAGAACUUCCAGCUGUGAAUUUCCAUGCUAUAGCUUCCCGUUAUCUAAGAGAGUUAUCUCUUCCUGUUGAAAAAAUUCUUCCUCAGGCUUGCCAUGUGUAUGAGUGGUCUAUGCCUCCAGAGCUUUACUUAUCAGACAAUGAAUCCAGGCUCCCUUCUCGUGUUUAUGUUAUGUCCAUUGUGAUUGUAACAAUAAGGAUUAUGUAUGACUUAAAUGGUGGGAAAUGGGAAAUGAUGUUAUCUAGACCCAGUGCUGAGGAGGACUUUGCUUUGCAUAACUCAGAUCAUUUUGAUAAUAUGUUAGAUGAGGAGGAAGCUGAUUUUGAUGCUUUGAGGCUUCUUCAAAUCCUGGAAACAAAAUAUUCUGAGCACAAAGAUAUAUAUGACUAUGCACAAGAUUUGGCAUCGUAUCUUCAAUACUGUAAAGAUGUGGUUUUUGCUGGAAUAAAUUCUUCUUGUGAGGAUCGUGAAGAAGAAAGUGUAAUAGAGGAACUAUGGGAUUUCUAUCAAAAGAAUAAGGAUGUUGAACCAUCAGAUGGGCUUAAAAAGAGUAAGGAAUUACAGGGGGGCGGCAGUAAUUACGGCACAGCAGAGGAUGGUGCUAAUUCCCCAGGAGAUAACAAAUCAUUACAUGAUGGUCAGUAUUUUAACGAGUCCUACAAGGAUAGGGCAAUAAGGCAACUGAAAUCAAAUAUGGAGGAAAAUCGAUUUUGUUAUAUUCCACCCAGUAAGCACACCCAAAAGAGGAACUAUGGUUACAUCCGCUAUUCUAGAAAGAAAGAUGGUGCCUACGUCUAUGCUGUCCAUGCUGAUUAUUACAUACUACUUCGGUCCUGUGCACAAAUCGCUCAAGUUGAUGUUCGGACUAUGCAUCAUGGAGUGUUGACUUUUCAGAAGAGAUUGGAACAACUGGACAAUAGAAUUGAUUAUUGCUUGCAUAGGAAACUUCCUGGGGACUUCUGUGAUUUUUGCUGCGGUUGAGUGUGGAGAUGAAGCUAAAGCUAAAGCUUCAUUUGCCGACUUUGUCCAAUUCUAUUUAUAGGUGAGAGUUGGGGAAUGAUGACCCUUUACAAAUUGGCUUUUAUUAGCUGAAUGUAACAGUGUCUUAAAAUUGAGAAAUGGUAUGAGCACUAUAUUUUCUUUAUGGCUUAAUAUCAACCGGGCUCUUGCAAAGAAGCAGGAUCUGGAAGCUUGUAAAGAAGAAUGCAGAUUAGUUCAAAUCUCAGGAUAAUAUGAGUCAUAGGAGAAGGAAUUGGUUUAUUUAAAAAACUAGACAAGAUUUGAAGAUGGCUUUAUUCCUGAAGGCAAAGAAGAUGGUUUUAUUCCAGGGGGAUGAGGGAUGUAGCUGUGAUUUGACCAUAGAAGCUGCUACUACCUAGGCAAGGACACAUGAUGUAUCCUGCUCCUGAUAAUAGCGGAGUCACUGUAAGCACAGGAGAGAAUUACUCUAUAAUCCAUUGUUGUCGAAAUACAAGGAUGAUGGACGUAGCAGUCCCCGCUAACAUGGUACUAGGCUUGCAAGCCAUGAAAUUAUAAGCUUUAUAAAAGGAUUGCAUCCCAAUCUUGAGAACCGUUUAUCAGCCCUGUUCUGGAGCCUUGAUGGAAAAGAUAAAUCAAGGGAUGUGCGAACGGCCUAAGGCGCUUGUAGGAUUCCAUCCCAAUCUUGAGAAUCCUUGUUCUGAAACCAUGAUGGAGAAGAUAAAUCAAGGGGUGUGCUAAUGGCGUAGAGUGCUGUUAGGAUUGCACUCCGAUCUUGAGAAUGAAGAUAAUCAAGGGAUGGAGUGCACUCUGAUCUUGAGAAUGAAGAUAAUCAAGGGAUGUGCUAACCACGUAUAGUGCUUGUACAUCGGUGCUUAUAACAGGACCAACUUCAUACCUUCAAUUGAGUUAUACGUUGUGAACAAAUAAUAAGCUUGAUAACAUCACGCUACAGAAGAUGAACCUGGGAGAAUGCCGGUUUUUAAAAUUAUUGAGUUGUAUUAUUUGCAGUGCUAUGAUUUUUCUUCAUAUUCUAAAUAAAGUUACCAAGCUACUGAAGAAAUUGAUUGUUCAAAAUGCAUGUAUUUAUUUUGGAGCAAUAUCUCUCUGGCCUUAAUGGCAAUUAUUCUGAGGACCUGAGUUCAUUUUGCAAGGCAAA